Non-coding RNA from Cucurbita pepo subsp. pepo (vegetable marrow), 688 nucleotides. The record is from RefSeq and is a predicted model, not a curated record. NCBI's taxonomy places the organism in Eukaryota, Viridiplantae, Streptophyta, Magnoliopsida, Cucurbitales, Cucurbitaceae.
AUUGCUUAUUCUUUCUCAGUCUUAGGGCACAAUAUUGAUAAUCAUGAAGAAAUAAAUCACCAAAAAAGAAAGAAAAAAAGUAACCAAGUUUUGAACUAAGAUAUCAUAUAAGUUUUGAGAACUCUUUGGAGAUAAACCACAUACAUGGGUGGUGCACCAAAAGAGGGCAAAUUGUGCGGAAGUAGAUGGACCUACCUAAGCUGAGUGCAUAUUCUAUGUAUGUGGUGCACCAAAAGAGGGCAAAUUGUGCGGAAGUAGAUGGACCUACCUAAGCUGAGUGCAUAUUCUUAUUUAGAGCGUUCCGAAAUCUAAGAAAAAGAAUUCAACUAAUAGGUGCUAGGUGAGCUGGAGAUUCUUAUUAGUGUAAGAUAGCUCUAGCCUCAUUCUUUAGGGGAAUGUAUGAGUCAGUGAGGCGGGCCACAACCGAAAGUAGUAAGCUAUUCAAGACAUGGUAGAUGUUCUUAAAAAAGAAAGCGGACUCGCGUCUGAGCCGACUACUACGACUACAUGUGCAUCUAGUGUAGUUUUAGCUUCAACAUAUUGAAUCAGCUUAAAUGCUUCUCUGGUAUCUAAUCCUAUCAUGGUUUUAAUUCAAAUACUCAUCACAACAAAACAGCUCACAGUGAAACUUGAAACCAAUCAUUUACUUCAAGUCGAAGUUCUAAUUUCAUUACCACCAUCUUUCUCU